Molecule: ribosomal RNA, 526 nt
Filed under: uncultured bacterium
Lineage: Bacteria
Description: bacterial SSU rRNA
Rfam family: Bacterial small subunit ribosomal RNA
Source: RNAcentral
UGAGGAAUAUUGAGCAAUGGGCGAAAGCCAGACUCAGCAACGCCGCGUGGACGAUGAAGGCCUUCGGGUCGUAAAGUCCUUUUCAGGGGGACGAGGGAGGACGGUACCCCUGGAAUAAGUCACGGCUAACUACGUGCCAGCAGCCGCGGUAAAACGUAGGUGGCAAGCGUUAUCCGGAUUCACUGGGCGUAAAGCGCCUGCAGGCGGUCCUGUAAGUGGGACGUGAAAUCUCCCGGCUCAACUGGGAGAGGCCGUUCCAUACUGCGGGGCUUGAGGGCAGAAGAGGGAAGCGGAAUUCCCGGUGUAGUGGUGAAAUGCGUAGAUAUCGGGAGGAACACCAGUGGCGAAGGCGGCUUCCUGGCCUGCUCCUGACGCUAAGAGGCGAAAGCUAGGGGAGCGAACGGGAUUAGAGACCCCGGUAGUCCUAGCUGUAAACGAUGGAUACUAGGUGUCGGUGGUCCUAACCCCAUCGGUGCCGAAGCUAACGCGUUAAGUACCCCGCCUGGGGACUACGGCCGCAAGGUUA